AGAGUUUGAUCAUGGCUCAGGAUGAACGUUGGCUGUGUGCCUAAGGUAUGCAAGUCGAACGAUCCUAUUCUGAUUUUCAAAGACUUCGGUCAAUGAUUUUCUAUUUAGGAUAGUGGCAAACGGGUGAGUAAUACGUAGAUAACUUGCCUUGAAGUCGGAAAUAGCUCGUCGAAAGACGGGGUAAUAUCCGAUAGUCUCUAUUCACUUUAAGUGUUUUAGAGUAAAGUUUUUCGCUUCAAGAGAGGUCUGCGUCCUAUCAGCUAGUUGGUGAGGUAAUGGCUCACCAAGGCUAAGACGGGUAGCUGGUGUGAGAGCACGGUCAGCCACCGCGGAACUGAGACACGGUCCGCACUCCUACGGGAGGCAGCAAUUAGGAAUAUUGUGCAAUGGAGGCAACUCUGACGCAGCCAUGCCGCGUGCAGGAAGAAGGCGCUAAGCGUUGUAAACUGC
This 450-nucleotide ribosomal RNA is filed under the name uncultured bacterium. RNAcentral describes it as "bacterial SSU rRNA". It matches the Rfam family "Bacterial small subunit ribosomal RNA", at positions 8 to 433 of the family's 1533-position model. The record is from RNAcentral.